GAAAUGUGAUAAGUAGUGUGAAUUGCAGAAUUCAGUGAUUCAUCGAAUCUUUGAACGCACAUUGCGCCCCUCGGUAUUCCGUGGGGCAUGCCUGUUCGAGCGUCAUCUACACCCUCAAGCUCUGCUUGGUGUUGGGCGUCUGUCCCGCCUCCGCGCGCGGACUCGCCCCAAAUGCAUUGGCAGCGGUUCCUUGCCCCCCUCUUUGCGCAGCACAUUGCCAUUCGAGGCGGCGGCGGCCCGCGUCCAACAAGCUCAACCCCCCCGUCUUUGACCUCGGAUCAGGUAGGGAUACCCGCUGAACUUAAGC
RNAcentral lists this unclassified non-coding RNA (307 nucleotides) under plant metagenome. RNAcentral describes it as "partial contains 5.8S ribosomal RNA, internal transcribed spacer 2, and large subunit ribosomal RNA". The stretch from base 1 to 105 matches the Rfam family "5.8S ribosomal RNA", at positions 50 to 154 of the family's 154-position model. The record is from RNAcentral.